GACGAACGCUGGCGGCGUGCUUAACACAUGCAAGUCGUACGGUAAGGCCCUUUCUGGGGUACACGCUUGGCGAACGGGCGAGUAACACGUGAGUAACCUGCCUACAACUGUGUGAUAACUCUAUUAAACUGGCUCUGAUACUUGCUGUGUGCUCCUGCCUCCUGGAGGGGGUUGGAUAGCUCCGGCGGGUGUGGAUGGACUCGCGGGCUAUCAGCUUGUUUGUGGGGUAGUGGCCUACCAAGGCGGCGACGGGCAGCCGGCCCGCGAGGGUGACCGGCCAAAAUGGGACUGGGAAACGGCCCAGACCCCUAAGGGGGGGAGGAGGGGGGAAUAUUGCACAAUGGGCGGAAGCCCGGUGCAGCCACGCCGCGUGCGGGAAGACCGCCCUCGGGUUGGAAACCGCUUUCAGCAGGGACGGAGCUUUUUGUGACGGUACCUGCAGAAGAAGCACCGGCUAACUACGUG
This 465-nucleotide ribosomal RNA is filed under the name uncultured bacterium. RNAcentral's name for it is "partial 16S ribosomal RNA". It matches the Rfam family "Bacterial small subunit ribosomal RNA", at positions 28 to 507 of the family's 1533-position model. The record is from RNAcentral.